This 492-nucleotide ribosomal RNA is filed under the name uncultured bacterium. Its description in RNAcentral is "partial 16S ribosomal RNA". It matches the Rfam family "Bacterial small subunit ribosomal RNA", at positions 29 to 507 of the family's 1533-position model. The record is from RNAcentral.
AGUGAACGCUGGCGGUAGGCCUAACACAUGCAAGUCGAACGGCAGCACAGUAAGAGCUUGCUCUUACGGGUGGCGAGUGGCGAACGGGUGAGGAAUACAUCGGAAUCUACUUUUUCGUGGGGGAUAACGUAGGGAAACUUACGCUAAUACCGCAUACGGCCUACGGGUGAAAGCAGGGGAUCUUCGGACCUUGCGCGAUUGAAUGAGCCGAUGUCGGAUUAGCUAGUUGGCGGGGUAAAGGCCCACCAAGGCGACGAUCCGUAGCUGGUCUGAGAGGAUGAUCAGCCACACUGGAACUGAGACACGGUCCAGACUCCUACGGGAGGCAGCAGUGGGGAAUAUUGGACAAUGGGCGCAAGCCUGAUCCAGCCAUACCGCGUGGGUGAAGAAGGCCUUCGGGUUGUAAAGCCCUUUUGUUGGGAAAGAAAAGCAGCAGGUUAAUACCCCGCUGUUCUGACGGUACCCAAAGAAUAAGCACCGGCUAACUUCGUG